GAUGAACGCUGGCGGCGUGCCUAAUACAUGCAAGUCGAGCGAACGGACGAGAAGCUUGCUUCUCUGAUGUUAGCGGCGGACGGGUGAGUAACACGUGGAUAACCUACCUAUAAGACUGGGAUAACUUCGGGAAACCGGAGCUAAUACCGGAUGAUAUUUUGAACCGCAUGGUUCAAAAGUGAAAGACGGUCUUGCUGUCACUUAUAGAUGGAUCCGCGCUGCAUUAGCUAGUUGGUAAGGUAACGGCUUACCAAGGCAACGAUGCAUAGCCGACCUGAGAGGGUGAUCGGCCACACUGGAACUGAGACACGGUCCAGACUCCUACGGGAGGCAGCAGUAGGGAAUCUUCCGCAAUGGGCGAAAGCCUGACGGAGCAACGCCGCGUGAGUGAUGAAGGUCUUCGGAUCGUAAAACUCUGUUAUUAGGGAAGAACAUAUGUGUAAGUAACUGUGCACAUCUUGACGGUACCUAAUCAGAAAGCCACGGCUAACUACGUGCCAGCAGCCGCGGUAAUACGUAGGUGGCAAGCGUUAUCCGGAAUUAUUGGGCGUAAAGCGCGCGUAGGCGGUUUUUUAAGUCUGAUGUGAAAGCCCACGGCUCAACCGUGGAGGGUCAUUGGAAACUGGAAAACUUGAGUGCAGAAGAGGAAAGUGGAAUUCCAUGUGUAGCGGUGAAAUGCGCAGAGAUAUGGAGGAACACCAGUGGCGAAGGCGACUUUCUGGUCUGUAACUGACGCUGAUGUGCGAAAGCGUGGGGAUCAAACAGGAUUAGAUACCCUGGUAGUCCACGCCGUAAACGAUGAGUGCUAAGUGUUAGGGGGUUUCCGCCCCUUAGUGCUGCAGCUAACGCAUUAAGCACUCCGCCUGGGGAGUACGACCGCAAGGUUGAAACUCAAAGGAAUUGACGGGGACCCGCACAAGCGGUGGAGCAUGUGGUUUAAUUCGAAGCAACGCGAAGAACCUUACCAAAUCUUGACAUCCUUUGACAACUCUAGAGAUAGAGCCUUCCCCUUCGGGGGACAAAGUGACAGGUGGUGCAUGGUUGUCGUCAGCUCGUGUCGUGAGAUGUUGGGUUAAGUCCCGCAACGAGCGCAACCCUUAAGCUUAGUUGCCAUCAUUAAGUUGGGCACUCUAAGUUGACUGCCGGUGACAAACCGGAGGAAGGUGGGGAUGACGUCAAAUCAUCAUGCCCCUUAUGAUUUGGGCUACACACGUGCUACAAUGGACAAUACAAAGGGCAGCGAAACCGCGAGGUCAAGCAAAUCCCAUAAAGCUGUUCUCAGUUCGGAUUGUAGUCUGCAACUCGACUACAUGAAGCUGGAAUCGCUAGUAAUCGUAGAUCAGCAUGCUACGGUGAAUACGUUCCCGGGUCU
Molecule: ribosomal RNA, 1372 nt
Filed under: uncultured bacterium
Lineage: Bacteria
Description: bacterial SSU rRNA
Rfam family: Bacterial small subunit ribosomal RNA
Source: RNAcentral